AGACGAAGGUAGCACCGUACUUGUACUACGAAACCGUGAAUGGCUCAUUAUAACAGCUAUGAUUUAAGAGAAACAAUUUACCACAGGAUAACUGUGGCAAUUCUAGAGCUAAUACUUUUUCGCAGCCACGACUCACGAAGUGGCGGACUUAUUAGUUCAAAACCAAUCAGUUUCACGACUGUUGUUUUGAUGACUCUAGAUAAUUUUACCUGAUCGCAUGGCCUUGUGCUGGCGACAUAUCUCUUGAAAUGGCUGACCUAUCAACUUUCGUUGGUAAGAUCAUUGCUUACCAUGGUUAUCACGGGUAACGGGGAAUCAGGGUUCGAUUCCGGAGAGGGAGCCUGAGAAACGGCUACCACAACUACGGUUGGCAGCAGGCGCGCAACAUGCCCAAUGCUCGACGAGCGAGGCUGUGACGAUAAAUAAUAAUGUGAACCCUUACGGGUUUCAUAAUUACAAUGAGAUCAGUGUAAAUACUUUAACGAGUAUCAAUUGGAGGGCAAGUCUGGUGCCAGCAGCCGCGGUAAUUCCAGCUCCAAAAGCGUAUAUUAAAGUUGUUGCAGUUAAAAAGCUCGUAGUUGAAAUUGAGGCAUAUUCCUUACUUGUAUCUUUGAUAUAGGUUUGGAGUGGCCUUCUCAGACAGUAUAUUUUUGAUUUCCUUUUUUGGAUGUCAUUAGUAACUGUCAAGUUUACUUUGAAAAAAUUAGAGUGCUUAAAGCAGGCUUUACGCCUGAAUAUUGUUGCAUGGAAUAAUGGAAUAGGACUUUUGUUCUAUUUUAUUGGUUUUCGGAACGAAAGUAAUGAUUAAAAGAGACUGCCGGGGGCAUACGUAUGUUGGUGUUAGAGGUGAAAUUCAAAGAUCAUCAACAGACGAACUACUGCGAAAGCAUUUGCCAAGAAUGUUUUCAUUAAUCAAGAACGAAAGUUAGAGGAUCGAAGACGAUCAGAUACCGUCCUAGUUCUAACUAUAAACGAUGCCAACUAACGGUUCGCUAUGGUAAAAUUUUAACCUAGCGAGAAGUUUCCGGGAAACCAAAGUUUAUGGGUUCCGGGGGAAGUAUGGUUGCAAAGCUGAAACUUAAAGGAAUUGACGGAAGGGCACCACCAGGAGUGGAGCCUGCGGCUUAAUUCGACUCAACACGGGAAAUCUCACCCGGUCCGGACACUGUGAGGAUUGACAGAUUGAUAGCUCUUUCUUGAUUCGGUGGGUGGUGGUGCAUGGCCGUUCUUAGUUGGUGGAGUGAUUUGUCUGGUUAAUUUCGAUAACGAACGAGACUCUAACCUGCUAAAUAGUAAAUGUGUGGUUAAAAGCACAUAUGACUUCUUAGAGGGAUAAAUGGCGUUAGCCAAAUGAGAUGGAGCAAUAACAGGUCUGUGAUGCCCUUAGAUGUCCGGGGCCGCACGCGCGCUACAAUGACAGUAUCAACAAGUUUUUUCCUAGCUAGAAAUGGCCGGGUAACCUUUUGAACCACUGUCGUAUCUGGGAUAGUAGAUUGCAAUUAUUCUACUUGAACGAGGAAUUCCUAGUAAGUGCAAGUCAUUAGCUUGCGCUGAUUACGUCCCUGCCCUUUGUACACACCGCCCGUCGCUACUACCGAUUGAAUGUUUUAGUGAGAAUGUCGGAUUCUAGUCUAAGAGAUGGCAACAUUUCUAUGAUCGGAAAAGACAUCCAAGCAUU
This 1678-nucleotide ribosomal RNA is filed under the name Miroplana shenzhensis. Its description in RNAcentral is "SSU rRNA". It matches the Rfam family "Eukaryotic small subunit ribosomal RNA". Lineage: Eukaryota; Metazoa; Platyhelminthes; Tricladida; Uteriporidae. The record is from RNAcentral.